CGCGUAGGUGGUGUCUUAAGUCAAAUGUUAAAGACCUCAGCUUAACUGAGGUUCGCAUUCGAAACUAAGAUGCUAGAGAUCAGGAGAGGGAAGCGGAACUCAAGGUGUAGCGGUGAAAUGCGUAGAUAUCUUGAGGAACACCAGUAGCGAAGGCGGCUUCCUGGCCUGAAUCUGACACUGAGGCGCGAAAGCGGUGGGGAGCGAACG
This 207-nucleotide ribosomal RNA is filed under the name uncultured bacterium. RNAcentral describes it as "partial 16S ribosomal RNA". It matches the Rfam family "Bacterial small subunit ribosomal RNA", at positions 568 to 774 of the family's 1533-position model. The record is from RNAcentral.